This 208-nucleotide unclassified non-coding RNA is filed under the name Glomeraceae sp. RNAcentral describes it as "partial contains 5.8S ribosomal RNA and internal transcribed spacer 2". The stretch from base 1 to 71 matches the Rfam family "5.8S ribosomal RNA", at positions 84 to 154 of the family's 154-position model. Lineage: Eukaryota; Fungi; Glomeromycota; Glomeromycetes; Glomerales; Glomeraceae. The record is from RNAcentral.
GUGAAUCAUCGAAUUUUUGAACGCAAAUUGCACUCUCUGGUAUCCCGGAGAGUAUGCCUGUUUGAGGGUCAGUUUUAAUAAAAAUCGGUGUGGUUGCCGACUUUCGUGGUGACGCACCGGAUUUGGGUCGUAUCGCCUUUGGUUAAGUGACCUAAAAUUUAGCUUGAUUUUUUAGAACGAAUUUAACUGAUUUUACGUACGUUUGUGA